GGCGAGGGCUGGCCAUGCUCCGCCGGAAGGCGCCUUGUUCUCGGAGAGGGUGAGUUGAAACGCUGCCUGGAAAGGAAGCACCAGGACUUGCACAGAAUAAACACCGGAGCGCCCCAAACACAAGCCGGGGGAGCUGCCUUAUCAGUGUCUGCUGCAUCCUACCAUCACACCGGCGUCUACAGAUCGUUUCAUCUCCAUGCUUUUCUGAGUUUGUCGACUCAGUCAAGGAUUCUCAGCCUAGGUUAGCAUCUGCUGAAGUCAUCUGGUGUGGGGCACAUUCCAUAUCGAAAGAGUUCCACCAUCUUCCUCUGAAGACGUAGCCAUCUUGCUCCAUGAAGGUCAGGACAAUCUGACAUGCACUUGUUUCUUGCCUCUAUACUUGAAGAGUAGUCCUCUUACAUUGUGUACAUUUUUUU
RNAcentral lists this small RNA (416 nucleotides) under Pongo abelii (Sumatran orangutan). RNAcentral's name for it is "processed transcript". The record is from RNAcentral. Lineage: Eukaryota; Metazoa; Chordata; Mammalia; Primates; Hominidae.